AUCACACGAACUACGAAAAUUGUAAUUUUCGGUUCCCAAACGGGAAGCGAAAGUAAAAAAAUGCAAGUUAUGUAUCGAAAUCGGUUAAUACAUAAUACGAAAGUCUAUGUACAUAAUGCAAAAGUCAAAUCUUGUAAUAGUACAUUUUUACCAACCAAAUUUAUUCUAUGCUUUU
Molecule: long non-coding RNA, 175 nt
Organism: Bradysia coprophila
Lineage: Eukaryota; Metazoa; Arthropoda; Insecta; Diptera; Sciaridae
Source: RefSeq, a predicted model, not a curated record